RNAcentral lists this ribosomal RNA (807 nucleotides) under uncultured fungus. RNAcentral describes it as "SSU rRNA". It matches the Rfam family "Eukaryotic small subunit ribosomal RNA", at positions 564 to 1379 of the family's 1831-position model. The record is from RNAcentral. Lineage: Eukaryota; Fungi.
GUGCCAGCAGCCGCGGUAAUUCCAGCUCCAAUAGCGUAUAUUAAAGUUGUUGUGGUUAAAAAGCUCGUAGUUGAACCUUGGGCCUGGCUGGCCGGUCCGCCUCACCGCGUGCACUGGUCCGGCCGGGCCUUUCCCUCUGUGGAACCCCAUACCCUUCACUGGGCGUGGCGGGGAAACAGGACAUUUACUUUGAAAAAAUUAGAGUGCUCCAGGCAGGCCUAUGCUCGAAUACAUUAGCAUGGAAUAAUAAAAUAGGACGCGCGGUUCUAUUUUGUUGGUUUAUAGGACCGCCGUAAUGAUUAAUAGGGACAGUCGGGGGCAUCAGUAUUCAACUGUCAGAGGUGAAAUUCUUGGAUCAGUUGAAGACUAACUACUGCGAAAGCAUUUGCCAAGGAUGUUUUCAUUAAUCAGGAACGAAAGUUAGGGGAUCGAAGACGAUCAGAUACCGUCGUAGUCUUAACCAUAAACUAUGCCGACUAGGGAUCGGACGGUGUUAUUCAUGACCCGUUCGGCACCUUACGAGAAAUCAAAGUGCUUGGGCUCCAGGGGGAGUAUGGUCGCAAGGCUGAAACUUAAAGAAUUGACGGAAGGGCACCACCAGGGUGGAGCCUGCGGCUUAAUUUGACUCAACACGGGGAAACUCACCAGGUCCAGACACAAUAAGGAUUGACAGAUUGAGAGCUCUUUCUUGAUUUUGUGGGUGGUGGUGCAUGGCCGUUCUUAGUUGGUGGGGUGACUUGUCUGGCUUAAUUGCGAUAACGAAACGAGACCUUAACUGCUAAAUAGCCCCGCAUUGCUCCCGGCAGU